Python bivittatus (Burmese python) is the source of this 3403-nucleotide non-coding RNA. The record is from RefSeq and is a predicted model, not a curated record. NCBI's taxonomy places the organism in Eukaryota, Metazoa, Chordata, Lepidosauria, Squamata, Pythonidae.
AGAAUGCGAUCCUAACGAUGGAGCAGCGGAAUUACUUCUCCCUGUACUGCCUCCAUCAAGAGACGCAGCUCAUUCACAUCUACCUUCCGCUCACCUCUCACAUCCUGGGCGCUUUUGUCAACUCUCAGAUCCAAGGCCACAAAGAGAUGAGCAAAGUCUGGAACGAACUGAAACCCAAGCUGAGCUGCCUCUUUGCGGGAUCCAGCAAUGUGCUGAUGUUGCCCCUGUCUGCCCAAGAGGACAAUUUUCUUCCCAGUUAAUGCUUUGGGAUUCAGGAUGGGAGGAGCUGGAGGGAAGGUCUGUCCUUGCCACUGACUGCUCCUAUCCAGGUAUUAACAAUAUUCUCCUCUUGGCAAGUCCUUUUUUGCCUUCCAGGGACUGAUUUGAAGGGUUCCAUGAUUUAGAGGAGGCCUGAAAUGUGACUGUACAAAGGCUCUCUGGUGUUUAUCAUUUUUGAUUUCCGUGGUGGAGGCCCACGUCAGGGCUGCUCAGAUUUUGCGAUGCUGCAACCUGUCGAAAUUGGCAGAUGAGUUUGUGGGACUCGCCCCUCGUCCAGGAAUAAAACAAAUAAUUAGGAUUAGGGUUGGGCAAGACAUAUACGUACCAUUGAUUAAAGGGCCUGUAACUUCCUUAAUCGGCAUUCCCAACAUCCUGAGCUUUUCUCUUGUCGCCCAACCAACCCAUUUCCGCUUUGAAAAGCCAGACAUUUAAAGGAACAGAAAUGUAACUUCACUGACAUAUACGCUUCUACAGAUGCUGUGGAAGGGUGGCUAUAUUACGACAUGCCCCCUGAGAAAUUGCCAGCUGACUCACAGAUGACUAGAGCCAUGAAUUUAGCCAUCUCUCAAAACAUACUUCCAGCCUGCCUCCAUUUAAGUCUCUUAAACUUCUUGGUGUUUCUUAGAACCAGUUUUGAAUAAAGAUAGAUAAAUCUCUUCAAAUAGUGGUUUCAGAAUGGCAGGAUUAGGAGUUUCUCCCCAGAACUUCUGACUCCUGUUUCUAGUGUGGUUUAUCUGGAAGAGGCAAGACUUUUUUGUUUUCUUGUCUUAUAGUUAAGCGGGAAGCCAAAGUUGUACAUUAAUUAACAGGGAAUUAAUUCAGACCGGCACCCUAAUUCAGAGUGCGUGCAUGCCCAACUCUGCCAUUGGGACCUAGACUUUUUUAGGACCAAUUUGUAGCUCAGCCUGGCCCUGAAGCUUUCUCCUUGCACCUUUGUCAAAAGCAUCACUUUAAGCCUGCUGCUGACGACAAAGCAGGCUGCACACCAUUCAGAACCUCACGCCAUCCACAUUUCUGCUUGCUUUUGCAGAAAAAAAACUGACUUGCUUUUUCUUUUAUAUGUCGACACAGAAUAUUUUUGGGAAAAAAACCUUUAUACUGGAGAUUAAAACCAUUACUCUUUUUUAUUUCUUUAGUUAGCAAGUUUUUUUUUAAUGAACAAUUCAGAUAAGCUAAUUGUUAUUAUCCCAGCGAGGCAGGUCUGCGCCCUUUUGCACAAAAGCACCGCUUUUGGAAAACAGCCAUGUGAGAAGACCGUCUCUGCUCAACCCAGCAGGCCUUUAGCAAAAUGGUUGAGCAAUAGCUCUGCUGGGUGCCACUGCGUACCUCAGGCACAUUUGCCAUGCUCUUGCACAUGCCAGAAAGAGGGUGUGGAAAGGUGUGAGAAAGGGAGUUGUGCUCCAGUGGGGUGUGUGAGAAAAUAACGAAUGAUUGUCUCUGUCCACAGCUCUCAUAAAUGACAAAUGUGGCUUCUGUCAACUGCAAGACCUUUGUGGGGAGGGCAGAGUAAUAGCUAAGAAUGCACAUAGCACUCUGUGCCUUUAAGCAUGGGGCUGAUGCCGCCAAAGGCACUUUCCCCCAGCGGGUAGUUUAUGCUUAAUGCAUGCAGAUUUUUGCACACGUUAAUGGCGCCUUUCUUCCCAGUUAGAGCACUCAGACAGUGCAGAUGGUGGAUAUCGCUGUCCCCAAAGUAAGCCCUAAAGCUACCUGGGUCUUCUCACUCCAUGAUUUCAUUUUACCAGUAUGAUGGUGUGAAUGUCUUGUAGAAUCUAGGGCCUCCUGUUCUCAGAGUUUAGAAGCCAGAGACUAGGUUCCCACAACAUGUUAAGCCAUUAUAUAGUUUGCUUGUUUGUGCCUUAAUGCGUGGUGGUUAGCCAGCCAUCAUGGCUUGUGAGCCAUGUGAAGCUAGCCAAAUGCAAUUGAUUCAAUGAGCCAUUGCUUAAGCAAAUCACAGGGUAAGGUGACCCACUCUCCAUACAGAUCUGCCUCUUAGCUGAUUUUUCUAAAAUGAACUUUGGAAAUCUAGGAUAAGGCGCGGGAUGAUUUAGCAGACUUCUUUAAAAAGAAGCCAAGUGGCUGCUAUCUAACAGACCAAACUCAACAUGGCUAACAUUGCCAUCCAGACCUAGUACAUGCAGUUCAUUUCAAUGGGGUAGAUAUGCCGGCUUAGACACGGCACCGUAUGUGGCAUUUCGCCAGCUUUCGAAGACAAGUUUGUGUCCAGCAUUUGCAGAACCCAGUUCUUCUAAUAUGCAUCUCCAUACCUACAUUCCUUUUGAAUUCAGCUGAAGGAAUUCAAACCUAAGAGUAUAAGAGGUGCAACCAUGGGGCAUGUUCCUUGCCCUGUCCAUAAACGUUCCUUGUCAUACCUGUCAAGUAAAGACUUACACCAAAGCUUGGCUGAACUUGGUGACUACAUGAGUAUAGCGCCUUCUUCCAAGAUGUCUUUUUUGACUUCCCACACAAGAUAAUCAUCUAACCAGAAUCAGCCCUGCUUAGCUUCAGAAUCUUGGUAAGGUUGGCCAGGGGCUACCAGCUGCUGGGGUCAUAUAAAAGGACAAAUCGUUGCUUGAAUCAUGCCUAGUUAAACAAAAGGACAGCUGUGAAAGAGCCUGUCCUGCUGGAUAAAAAAAAUCCAAUUUCUAUGAGGAAAGCCACCUCUUCUCUAUAAGAAGAGAGAAGGUCAUGUAGAUUAUUUUUGAGGAAGCUCUAUCUAAAGUGGACCAUCGGUAAGUGGAACACCUUUUAGCAAGAUGGUUAGGGCUUAAUCACAAAAGCAGCUGUCCGAAUGGAUUAAACACCAAACUCUCAGAAAAGUAAUGCUCUUUUUAUGCUUUUCAAACGAUGUUUUUGCUUAAACCAAAAACGGAUGGGUGGUGGGUGGGCUUCCUCCCGUUCCCUGGCAUUUAAUUUGGAAUUUGUAAAAGAGUGUCUGCUUUGGAAAAAAAAAAAAAAGUAUUGUUUUUAAAUGAAGCACUUUAUUAAACUGCAGGAAUUGGAGAACGUCUUAUUUACAGUUGGUGGGCUUUCAAAAAUGUUUAUGGAUUCUGACCUUCCCCUCCCCCGCAAAAAAGUUGCAAAAAUAUGUAUUUGUAAGAGAUGCAUAAAACUUGUAUAAAAAGGU